CCCACCCCAAGAAGGGGAAACCUCCGGCUGAGGAGAAAAUUUCGGUUGCAUCCCAGUCCAGGCCUAGGAGAUCUGUCUGGUUUCCUCUGGGGAAAUAGGAAAGGCAUAACUAAGAACCUGGAAACUGGAGUGGCAAAGAAAGAAGGCUAUUUGCAAAGUAGAGGAGAAAAAGAAGUUGAGAGGACAAAAAUAUCACCAUCAAAAAAGUUGGAGGAAUGCUGAGGAAGAUGACUUCCAGGGUGCAUCCUUGACACUCGUUACUUGUGUAAGUGACGUUGUGACAGAGACUGCAAACAAAUUGUCAACCCCAAUUAAUGCUCCCCUCUAUGUCAUAAAGUCGUGGCUGCAUACCCAGGACUACAAUUCUUAGCUCCUUUUCCUAUAAGAUGGGACCACAUGACUUGUUCUCGCCAAUAGGUGUAAGUGUUUCUCGCACUCUUCUUCCCUUUCUGCCUUGGCUCAAUACAAACGUAUCAUCCUUGGGGAUGCAGUGUUGAAUGAAGAUGGUGGAGCCAGAAGAUGGAAGGAGCCUGGUAUUUCAAAUGUUGCCUGGAAAAUAGCCCUUACCUUUUGGGGACACCUAUUUUUGCUUUCACAUGAGCAAGAAAUAAAAUUCUAUUGA
This is a long non-coding RNA of Camelus dromedarius (Arabian camel), 622 nucleotides long. RefSeq lists it as uncharacterized. The record is from RefSeq and is a predicted model, not a curated record. Lineage: Eukaryota; Metazoa; Chordata; Mammalia; Artiodactyla; Camelidae. The transcript is spliced from 4 exons.